RNAcentral lists this transfer RNA (77 nucleotides) under Candidatus Competibacteraceae bacterium. RNAcentral describes it as "tRNA-Arg". It matches the Rfam family "tRNA". From Rfam's summary of the family: Transfer RNA (tRNA) molecules are approximately 80 nucleotides in length. Their secondary structure includes four short double-helical elements and three loops (D, anti-codon, and T loops). Lineage: Bacteria; Pseudomonadati; Pseudomonadota; Gammaproteobacteria; Candidatus Competibacteraceae. The record is from RNAcentral.
GCGCCCGUAGCUCAGUUGGAUAGAGCGUCGGCCUCCGGAGCCGAAGGUCGUGAGUUCGAGUCUCGCCGGGCGCGCCA